GGGGAUGUAAUGGUCUCGACAUUGAUUAUUGCCCAUGUGGUGCAUUCCGGAGGCUCGGCUCCGUUAACAACGGAACAGUUUAUUAACUGCAAACAACGAAAACUCUUACGCUUUAGCUGCCUAAAUAACAGCUUAGUGUGAUCCCACCGUCUUUGCUCAAGGGGCGGGUUUGGGGUCUCAAAUUAAUUGAGCUACACAGCCAACAUCCCACCUGAAUGUUGGCUGGAGAGAUAAUCAGGUUAGCCAUGGUGAGUUAGCCGCGUUGGCUGGCGCGUCACCUUGGUGAAAUUCAAAUUAGUCAACUAUGAGUGUAGACCUGCAUGGCGUGAGAUUGAUGGACACGGGUUCGAUUCCCGUCAUCUCCAUAU
RNAcentral lists this transfer-messenger RNA (368 nucleotides) under Lacticaseibacillus brantae. RNAcentral's name for it is "Standard tmRNA". It matches the Rfam family "transfer-messenger RNA". From Rfam's summary of the family: Bacterial tmRNA, also known as 10Sa RNA or SsrA, is named for its dual tRNA and mRNA-like properties. Its role is to liberate the mRNA from a stalled ribosome. To accomplish this part of the tmRNA is used as a reading frame that ends in a translation stop signal. The record is from RNAcentral. Lineage: Bacteria; Bacillati; Bacillota; Bacilli; Lactobacillales; Lactobacillaceae. RNAcentral also lists the same sequence under 1 other name.